AUCCAGCUGACCAAUCCCAAAUAGGCCGGAACGCGCGUCCUGGAU
Molecule: non-coding RNA, 45 nt
Organism: Schistosoma mansoni
Lineage: Eukaryota; Metazoa; Platyhelminthes; Trematoda; Strigeidida; Schistosomatidae
Source: Rfam